This 1430-nucleotide long non-coding RNA is filed under the name Equus asinus (donkey). RNAcentral's name for it is "lncRNA (ENSEASG00005025408.1)". Lineage: Eukaryota; Metazoa; Chordata; Mammalia; Perissodactyla; Equidae. The record is from RNAcentral.
CUUCAGAGGUUCUUCUGAGUGCGUUACACGGCCGUUCAUUCUGAUGAGCAGAAAAGGACAAAGCAUAAAAAUUGCUGUUAUUCAUCAUCUGGGAGAGAAGUCCAUAUUUUCAAUUUGUUCAUUUCUCGAUGGACCAUUCUGUAUCUGAUUUGAUAUAACAGCUUGAGAAUGUUAGUUAUUGAUAUCCUCUUCCUCUUUUGGCACCCAACAUUCUCUCCUCAUAACUUCCUUGCUUUAAUUCUUUUUAAACUUCUCGCCUUCCCUUAUUUAUGUGAUCACUUCAUUUUCGGAAUAAAAUAAGGUUUAUCUGAAGCAGCAUAACUUGGUGUUUAACUUCCGUGGGAGUCGGGCACUGAGUUUAACCUCUAGAUACAUUUGGAAGAAGCUUCUGGACGUCAUUAUAGAAGUGUCGGGAAGCCCUCAUUGUUCCUAUACCCCUUCCCACCCCAACUCAUCUGAUUCGAUUGCUAAUGUCUGAAAUUUUAUCCUCUGAAUUUGAUUCCUUUGAUAUUGAAGUGCAGACACUCCUGGGAAGAAUGAGUCACUCACACUUUAUUGUGAAUGAGUCUCAGGGGCUGGGUUAUGAAAAGGGAGAUGGAAUUAAAACCAAGAGAGCUCCGGCGACUGGUGCAGCUGUUCUUGCCACAGAAAGACUGCCAAGUGCGUAGGCGGCUUUGCUCCUCGCUAGCUCUGCAAACUGGAGUCACUUGAUCUCCUUAACCUCGGUGAUCACAGAUGAGAUAUGGAGUAAUAAUGCUUCCUGCUUUACCUGAUAGCAUUAUGUGGAGGCUCAAAUGAGAGUAGAUGGGUCACAAAAAAUUUGCAAACUGUGAAGUGCCAUGCAAAGUAAAGACAUUAAAGGGCAGGACCCAAGGGGAAAAGAAAUGUGGCCAAGGCAUCAUCUACCCACGUCACAACUCAGGUGGAUCCUGGUGCUACUUUAUAAUCACACUCAGAAUUCUGACGAUUAAGAUGACCAGGAUUCAUGUGUUGCCUUCUGGAUAUCAUCGUGCUAAAGACCUCGUGCUCAGGGUGAGGAAGUGCGGCGUGAUUUCACCACUGCAGUGACUUUCCCUUCCUCAUAUCUGAGGGCUGAGGAACCCAACCUGCUGUUUUGGAAAGAGGCUGGGCAGUUGAAAAAGAAAGAUUGCUUUUACAUCGGGCAGUGUGAAUGGGCUUCUGAAAAGUCUCAGGGCACAAUUCAUGGGCAACCUGUAGGCAGCUGCUAAUGAACACAUUUUAGUCACAAGAUUGCAGUUCACACGGUUCUCCAACCAGGUGAUGUGAGGUUACCCCCUCACCUGGGCUCCUCCGGGCCUUGGAUGGCUCCCAAGAACUGGCCAUCCCAUCAUAGUAUUUUUUGGACUUUCAGUGUUAGCUCUGCUUCUUUCCACGUGCCCCAACUUGUCUUUCCCCACUCUUCUCACAUG